This 773-nucleotide ribosomal RNA is filed under the name uncultured bacterium. RNAcentral describes it as "bacterial SSU rRNA". It matches the Rfam family "Bacterial small subunit ribosomal RNA", at positions 8 to 798 of the family's 1533-position model. The record is from RNAcentral.
AGAGUUUGAUCCUGGCUCAGGACGAACGCUGGCGGCGUGCUUAACACAUGCAAGUCGAACGGAAAGGCCCUUCGGGGUACUCGAGUGGCGAACGGGUGAGUAACACGUGGGUGAUCUGCCCUGCACUCUGGGAUAAGCCUGGGAAACUGGGUCUAAUACCGGAUAGGACCGCAUGCUUCAUGGUGUGUGGUGCAAAGCUUUUGCGGUGUGGGAUGAGCCCGCGGCCUAUCAGCUUGUUGGUGGGGUAAUGGCCUACCAAGGCGACGACGGGUAGCCGGCCUGAGAGGGUGACCGGCCACACUGGGACUGAGGUACGGCCCAGACUCCUACGGGAGGCAGCAGUGGGGAAUAUUGCACAAUGGGCGCAAGCCUGAUGCAGCGACGCCGCGUGAGGGAUGACGGCCUUCGGGUUGUAAACCUCUUUCAGUAGGGACGAAGCGAAAGUGACGGUACCUACAGAAGAAGGACCGGCCAACUACGUGCCAGCAGCCGCGGUAAUACGUAGGGUCCGAGCGUUGUCCGGAAUUACUGGGCGUAAAGAGCUCGUAGGUGGUUUGUCGCGUUGUUCGUGAAAACUCACAGCUUAACUGUGGGCGUGCGGGCGAUACGGGCAGACUAGAGUACUGCAGGGGAGACUGGAAUUCCUGGUGUAGCGGUGGAAUGCGCAGAUAUCAGGAGGAACACCGGUGGCGAAGGCGGGUCUCUGGGCAGUAACUGACGCUGAGGAGCGAAAGCGUGGGUAGCGAACAGGAUUAGAUACCCUGGUAGUCCAA